Non-coding RNA from Acanthosepion pharaonis, 98 nucleotides. The record is from the annotation of a GenBank genome assembly. NCBI's taxonomy places the organism in Eukaryota, Metazoa, Mollusca, Cephalopoda, Sepiida, Sepiidae.
GUUGAAACAUCGGUUCCCAUGGGAUAACUGCAGUUAAGCCAUUUCGAGUCUGGUCAGUAGUUAGAUGGGUGACCACUUGGGAAAACCCGGAGCUGGAA